GCAACUCGCCUACAUGAAGUCGGAAUCGCUAGUAAUCGCGGAUCAGCAUGCCGCGGUGAAUACGUUCCCGGGCCUUGUACACACCGCCCGUCACACCAUGAGAGUUUGUAACACCCAAAGCCGGUGGGGUAACCUUUUGGAGCCAGCCGUCUAAGGUGGGACAGAUGAUUGGGGGUGAAGUCGUAACAAGGUAGC
This 195-nucleotide ribosomal RNA is filed under the name uncultured bacterium. RNAcentral describes it as "partial 16S ribosomal RNA". It matches the Rfam family "Bacterial small subunit ribosomal RNA", at positions 1307 to 1500 of the family's 1533-position model. The record is from RNAcentral.